This 460-nucleotide ribosomal RNA is filed under the name uncultured bacterium. RNAcentral's name for it is "partial 16S ribosomal RNA". It matches the Rfam family "Bacterial small subunit ribosomal RNA", at positions 313 to 795 of the family's 1533-position model. The record is from RNAcentral.
CCUCCGUUCUUCCGCCGUUCUUACUAUUUUUCCCUUUCCUCGCUUCUGCCCCCGCCCCGUCGCGUGAAGGAUGACUGCCCUAUGGGUUGUAAACUUCUUUUAUAUGGGAAUAAAAUGUUCCACGUGUGGGAUUUUGUAUGUACCAUAUGAAUAAGGAUCGGCUAACUCCGUGCCAGCAGCCGCGGUAAUACGGAGGAUCCGAGCGUUAUCCGGAUUUAUUGGGUUUAAAGGGAGCGUAGGUGGAUUGUUAAGUCAGUUGUGAAAGUUUGCGGCUCAACCGUAAAAUUGCAGUUGAAACUGGCAGUCUUGAGUACAGUAGAGGUGGGCGGAAUUCGUGGUGUAGCGGUGAAAUGCUUAGAUAUCACGAAGAACUCCGAUUGCGAAGGCAGUUCACUGGACUGCAACUGACACUGAGGCUCGAAAGUGUGGGUAUCAAACAGGAUUAGAUACCCUUGUAGUC